UACAGAGGGGGCAAGCGUUGUUCGGAAUUACUGGGCGUAAAGGGCGCGUAGGCGGUCUGCUAAGUCGAACGUGAAAUCCCCGGGCUCAACCCGGGAACUGCGUCCGAUACUGGCAGGCUUGAAUCCGGGAGAGGGAUGUGGAAUUCCAGGUGUAGCGGUGAAAUGCGUAGAUAUCUGGAGGAACACCGGUGGCGAAGGCGGCAUCCUGGACCGGUAUUGACGCUGAGGCGCGAAAGCCAGGGGAGCAAACGGG
Molecule: ribosomal RNA, 253 nt
Filed under: uncultured bacterium
Lineage: Bacteria
Description: partial 16S ribosomal RNA
Rfam family: Bacterial small subunit ribosomal RNA
Source: RNAcentral